This 427-nucleotide ribosomal RNA is filed under the name uncultured bacterium. RNAcentral's name for it is "bacterial SSU rRNA". It matches the Rfam family "Bacterial small subunit ribosomal RNA", at positions 354 to 796 of the family's 1533-position model. The record is from RNAcentral.
GUAAGGGAUAUUGCGACAAUGGGCGAAAGCCUGACGCAGCAACGCCGCGUGUGGGAUGACGGCCUUCGGGUUGUAAACCACUUUUCGGGGGGAAGAGGAAGGACGGUACCCCCGGAAGAAGUCUCGGCUAACUACGUGCCAGCAGCCGCGGUAAAACGUAGGAGGCAAGCGUUAUCCGGAUUUACUGGGUGUAAAGCGCGUGCAGGCGGUCUGUCAAGUCGCGUGUGAAAGCGCCCGGCUCAACCGGGCGAGGCCGCGCGAAACUGAGAGACUGGAGGCCGGUAGAGGCGUGUGGAAUUCCGGGUGUAGUGGUGAAAUGCGUAGAGAUCCGGAGGAACACCAGUGGCGAAGGCGACACGCUGGACCGAGCCUGACGCUCAGACGCGACAGCAUGGGGAGCGAACGGGAUUAGAAACCCGAGUAGUCC